This 795-nucleotide ribosomal RNA is filed under the name Hypogymnia tubulosa. Its description in RNAcentral is "partial large subunit ribosomal RNA". It matches the Rfam family "Eukaryotic large subunit ribosomal RNA", at positions 95 to 905 of the family's 3401-position model. Lineage: Eukaryota; Fungi; Ascomycota; Lecanoromycetes; Lecanorales; Parmeliaceae. The record is from RNAcentral.
GAAGCGGCAACAGCUCAAAUUUGAAAUCUGGCCCUUUCGGGGUCCGAGUUGUAAUUUGUAGAGAGUGUUUCGGGUGAGACCACGGUCUAAGUCCAUUGGAACAUGGCGUCAUAGAGGGUGAGAAUCCCGUAUGUGACUGUGGAUCGAGCCCAUGUGAAGCCUCUUCGACGAGUCGAGUUGUUUGGGAAUGCAGCUCAAAAUGGGUGGUAAAUUUCAUCUAAAGCUAAAUACUGGCUGGAGACCGAUAGCGCACAAGUAGAGUGAUCGAAAGAUGAAAAGCACUUUGGAAAGAGAGUCAAACAGYACGUGAAAUUGUUGAAAGGGAAGCGCUUGCAACCAGACCUGUCCGUAGGUGAUCAGCCGCUGUUCUCAGUGGUGCACUCGCUCUGCGAUCAGGCCAGCAUCGGUUCGGGCGGUCGGAUAAAGGCCUUGGGAAUGUAGCUUCCUUCGGGGAGUCUUAUAGCCCUCGGUGCAAUGCGGCCAGCCGGGACCGAGGACCGCGCUUCGGCUAGGAUGCUGGCGUAAUGGUUGUAAGCGACCCGUCUUGAAACACGGACCAAGGAGUCUAACAUCUAUGCGAGUGUUUGGGCGUUAAACCCAUGCGCGGAAUGAAAGUGAACGGAGGUGAGAACCCUUAAGGGCGCAUCAUCGACCGAUCCAGAUGUCUUCGGAUGGAUUUGAGUAUGAGCAUAGCUGUUGGGACCCGAAAGAUGAUGAACUAUGCCCGAAUAGGGUGAAGCCAGAGGANACUCUGGUGGAGGCUCGCAGCGGUUUCUGACGUGCAAAAUCGAUCGU